GCCCUCUCUCUCCCGCACGAGGAUGCGAGACGCCUCGGAACUAGGGUUCCUUUUGCCGCUGCGCCCCCAUGGCACCACUUCCGGCAGCCCUCGCCACCAUCUUCCGUCCCCAAUCACCGUUGUAGUCCCCCGCUGCCGGUAAAUAGCCUUGACAGAGCUCUAGCCACUAGCUCCCUGGAGCAUGGCGCCCGCCGAUAGCCACGAAGGAGCGCUGAUGGACGUCCUGAUUGUGGGCGAGGACCCCGCCGAGGCGACUAACCUCGACACCGCGCAACACCCCCACGCCCCAGCAUCUCUGCCAUCGCCUCGCGCUGCCGUGCGCAAGGAUACCACCACCUCUCCCUGACAUCUCUGUCUCCACUCCCCCAAGGCCCUCCUCGCGGACAGCCUCCAACCCACACAAGCUCCCCUAUUCUGGCUCUGCAGCCUCCCGUGGCUGAGCAACGAAGAGAUCGAGGGGGGAAUACUCAGUUGAUUUUUUAGGGAUUGGAGAUUGAUCUUAUUUGUUUGGUUGUCCGUGGAUUCAAAGAUGAAGUAGAUAGUAAAGGCCAAGGCAACGGGCAUCAGACAUGUUAAUUUUUCUGAACUCUACUAUGGAACAUGUGUUUCUGAAUUUCUGCCAAAGUGUCAACUGUGGAUCGUACAUAGUAGUGCUCUUUUGAUAGUAGGUGGUCUGAAUUUCUGUCAAAGUGAUAACUGUGGAUAGUACAUAGUAGUGCUCUUUUGAUAGUAGGUGGUCGAAGUGUCGAAACACUGGAACAAGCACAAACUGAUCCUAGCAUCGAAGUGCUUUGUUUUUCCUUUGCAUCAAACUAUAUUUGUGUGCUCCAGAGUUCAGUGGGACAUAUGAUUGUCGUGCUCCAGCCUGUUUAAUCUCAGGUCUGAUCUCUUUUUAGCUCUUAUAUGUAUAGUACUUGGUUAUACAAACAUGGAACUGAUGGAUAUGUUGGAUUAAUGGAUGCAUAAUUAGACACCUGAUGAUGAAUAGAUGGAAUUAAUGGAUGCAUACAUAUAUGAUUAGACCCUUAAUAAGCUUAGAUGUACUAUGGUUUAUUGCAUUCUCAGUAGGUUAAUAAUUACUAUAUAUGAAAACAAAAUUGCGCGUUCUUAUUUUGUUGGAAUAUUCCCACAAGGCCACACCGGCAAGAUAAUUAGUUUCUUUUUUAUGAAACCAAUAGCUAAUCUAUAUAUUUGCAGGUGAUUCAGAUGAGCGUCUCCCGACUUUAUGCAACAAUCAAAUUUAUUUGAAGUACCAAUAUUUGCAAUAAACAUUCUUAAUCCAUAUUAGUUACGGGAUUUAUAAAUCUUUUCACCACUUCAUAUGUUUGGAGGGGAACAUAUAAGAAACUGAUGGAUCACGUAUAUGUUCUGUGGCAUAAAUACAAUAUAAUUAAUGUGAAAACCAUUGAUGUGUCUCAGGAUCACAUGAUCUGUUUAAAAUAAUAUAUAAUUUGCACUCAGC
Triticum aestivum (bread wheat) is the source of this 1462-nucleotide long non-coding RNA. RefSeq lists it as uncharacterized. NCBI's taxonomy places the organism in Eukaryota, Viridiplantae, Streptophyta, Magnoliopsida, Poales, Poaceae. The transcript has 2 exons. The record is from RefSeq and is a predicted model, not a curated record.